Molecule: ribosomal RNA, 118 nt
Filed under: Dorea longicatena
Lineage: Bacteria; Bacillati; Bacillota; Clostridia; Lachnospirales; Lachnospiraceae
Also listed under: 4 other names
Source: RNAcentral
UCCGGUGGCGAUGCGCUUAGGGGACACACCCGUUCCCAUCCCGAACACGAUGGUUAAGACCUAAGCGGCCGAUGGUACUAUGCUGGAGACGGCAUGGGAGAGCAGGUGGCUGCCGGAU